UGAGGAAUAUUGGGCAAUGGGCGCAAGCCUGACCCAGCCAUACCGCGUGAAGGAUGAAGGUUCUAUGAAUUGUAAACUUCUUUUCUUGGGGACUAAACUUGACUACGCGUAGUUGAUUGAAGGUACCUGAGGAAUAAGCAUCGGCUAACUCCGUGCCAGCAGCCGCGGUAAUACGGAGGAUGCAGGCGUUAUCCGGAUUUACUAGGUUUAAAGGGUGCGUAGGCGGAUUUGUAAGUCGGUGGUGAAAUCCUACAGCUUAACUGUAGAACUGCCAUUGAUACUGCUAAUCUUGAGUAUAGUUGAGGUAGGCGGAAUGUGUAAUGUAGCGGUGAAAUGCUUAGAUAUUACCCAGAACACCGAUUGCGAAGGCAGCUUACUAAACUAUAACUGACGCUGAGGCACGAAAGCGUGGGGAUCAAACAGG
RNAcentral lists this ribosomal RNA (424 nucleotides) under uncultured bacterium. Its description in RNAcentral is "bacterial SSU rRNA". It matches the Rfam family "Bacterial small subunit ribosomal RNA", at positions 355 to 776 of the family's 1533-position model. The record is from RNAcentral.